Molecule: ribosomal RNA, 499 nt
Filed under: Sarocladium sp. SIN29
Lineage: Eukaryota; Fungi; Ascomycota; Sordariomycetes; Hypocreales; Sarocladiaceae
Description: eukaryotic LSU rRNA
Rfam family: 5.8S ribosomal RNA (bases 142-295)
Source: RNAcentral
UCCCAACCAUUGUGACUUACCACUGUUGCUUCGGCGGCCUCGCCCCGGGCGCGUUCGCGCGGCCCGGACCCAGGCGUCCGCCGGAGGCUUCAAACUCUUGUCUUUUAGUGUAUUUCUGAGUGGCAUAAGCAAAUAAAUCAAAACUUUCAGCAACGGAUCUCUUGGUUCUGGCAUCGAUGAAGAACGCAGCAAAAUGCGAUAAGUAAUGUGAAUUGCAGAAUUCAGUGAAUCAUCGAAUCUUUGAACGCACAUUGCGCCCGCCAGUAUUCUGGCGGGCAUGCCUGUCUGAGCGUCAUUUCAACCCUCAGGACCCGUUCGCGGGACCUGGCGUUGGGGAUCAGCCUGCCCCUGGCGGCGGCUGGCCCUGAAAUACAGUGGCGGUUCCCUCGCGAACUCCUCCGUGCAGUAAUUAAACCUCUCGCGGCAGGAUAGCGGUUGAACCACGCCGUUAAACCCCCCACUUCUCAAGGUUGACCUCAGAUCAGGUAGGAAUACCCGC